GACGUAGGGUGCGAGCGUUGUCCGGAUUUAUUGGGCGUAAAGAGCUCGUAGGCGGCUCGUCGCGUCAGCUGUGAAAACCCGCAGCUUAACUGUGGGCUUGCAGCUGAUACGGGCGGGCUAGAGUUCGGUAGGGGAGACUGGAAUUCCCGGUGUAGCGGUGAAAUGCGUAGAGAUGUGGAGGAAUACCGAUGGCGAAGGCAGCCCCCUGGGCCAAUACUGACGCUCAUGCACGAAAGCGUGGGGAGCAAACAGG
Molecule: ribosomal RNA, 253 nt
Filed under: uncultured bacterium
Lineage: Bacteria
Description: partial 16S ribosomal RNA
Rfam family: Bacterial small subunit ribosomal RNA
Source: RNAcentral